This 4427-nucleotide long non-coding RNA is filed under the name Homo sapiens (human). RNAcentral describes it as "HSALNT0374537". Lineage: Eukaryota; Metazoa; Chordata; Mammalia; Primates; Hominidae. The record is from RNAcentral.
GUUAUUAAACACAGGCUUUGAUGAUGACACAUUUCCCAUGUUCAUAACUUGUGAUUGGUGAAGAAACAGCUGAGGCCUAGAUAAGUUAUGUGCCCAAUGCCACACAGCUAGAAAGCUACAAAGCUGAAGUUUGAACCCAACUCAUCUUGGUCCAGAGUCUGUGCACAGAAGUCCUCAUACAUCCAGCACUCAGCCUGCUCUUGAGCAAAAGGUACAUGUCCAACUUAAGAAAGCGUUUACUACUAGAGAUCGCUGAAAAAAUCAUAAGUCAUUUCAAUCAGGUUGAAUGCACUGCCCCAGAGAUGUUCAAGAAGAGGUUCAAGGACUUCUUAGGACGGAGUUUUAUGAGAGGCACCAACAUUGAAGACAUCAAAUCCAAUUGUAAAGUCCUUCCAAAUGGAAGAUUGUAAAAGCAUCUAAAGGUCUAUUCUGGAUGGGAAGAUAACAUGGGCAAAGGUAAUGACUAUCUGGGAGGAGCAGACCAGUAUGGCUGUAAUGAGAAAUUCAUGGAGAAGAGUGGUUUCCAGUAAUGCUGCAAAAAUCGGCUAGAAUCAGAUUGCGAGAGACCCUGAAUGUCAGCAAAAUCGGGUUUUGGUCUUAAUCCUCUUAAUCCUUUAACUGAUGGGAAGACUUAAAGAGUUCCUCCUCUGGAAAGUGAUAAAGUUUUGCCUUUUUUUUUUUUUUCUAGUUUGGAGUUUUUUGUUUUGUUUUGUUUUUGAUACAAAGGGUAUGAAGUAAAUUAAUCAGAUGACAUUCUUGAUCUACUGCGAAUGACUCAGUCAAGCCUCUUUUGCAUCUUCUCUUCCUCCCACUGUCCACAAGGUGGCACCAGAACUCAAAAUCAGAACUCCCUGGAAGGUUGUCUAACUGUUCCAAGCCUUUCCUGUAGGAUGACUCCUAUAAAGAUACUUUUGAGGAGUUAACAAUUUUCGUCUUAACUGACUGCAACGUUCUGAAGAACUUCUGGGGACUGUGCCAGUUUAGAGACUAUUGUAGACCAAAAUCAUAAACAACACAUCCUACAGAAAAUGCUAAUGAUCAACUGGACGUUGAUACAGUGGAAUUUGUUCGACCCUCGAUGACUUCCAGAAGGGGGGAGCUGUUCUAGUUCACAAGAUGGAGAGGUUUGUCAGGUGGCCGGUUAAAUAAGCUUCUUGACACUUAACUCUAGGUAGGAUGUGGAAGAAGAUGAAAGUCUGAGCCAACUUACUACCUAAUUCUUCAGGAAAGAAAUGUGAGAGUACAGCACUGUGUCCCCUCUUACCUUUCCAAGUGGCUUUUCAUGCUGUCAACUACUUUACACUGCAGAGGGCUCUCUCCUUUACAUAUUUCUUAAGCAAUUUUUUUUUCUUAAUGUCACAGUUCUGCUUUUCUUUUGUCUUUUUUUUUUUUUUUUUAAAUAAUGAGAGGGAAGCAGGCUUUCAAUUUGUUGGAAAGUUUCUGUUCUCACCAACCUCUAUAAAAAGCAAUCAUUCUUGGUCACUUGUAAAUAUGCCUAGUACGCGUAUCAGGCUUCCUAUUUUAAACAUCUAAGACUAGUUUGUAUGAUUCGAAAUUUCAAAAGGCAAAAUGGCCUAGCACCCAAAUCACAGGUAAGUGGGCACAUGGCAUUUUCCCCUAAAUCCUUCAAACUGAAAUUUGAGGAGGAAACACAAAGUUAGUGAGCGUGUGACAAAGCAGGUAUUGUUUAUAAAGAUAAAGAGGCUUCUGUCUAAAUACCAUGGUCUCAAUUUCCCAGAUUCUAGAGAAAAAGAAAAAAAAAGUAAGUAUUCUAUUUAAUUUUAUUUACUUGAAAUUCUUAUGUUUUAGUUUUUCCAAACCUGUCUCUUCUAAAAUGGGCAGUAGAAAAGAGAGGCUAAUAUAGAUGAUAGACUGAUGGACUUGGAUAAAUAAUUAAUGGCCUGGAGUAAUUAGCUGGAAGAUGUUUAAUCAUUAAUUUGUCUGAGUCAUCAGAAGCAUUUGAGCUUACCCAUAAAAUAUUCCACUAAUCAUGAGUGUGUAUAUUUUGUCAAGAUGGAAAUUAAUAUGAGAUGAGAAUUAGCACUUUGAAAAAUUAAAAUACAGGACAAGUCUGUUUGGUCUACUCUUUGUUUAAGAUAAAUGAAAUUUUGCUUUCCUUUACUGUACCUAAUGAGAAAAAAAAGGUACAUAAAUUCUAUCUGUACACAUAACCAAGAAGUCAAACUUUUUGGUUGGAGAGGCAAAGUAAUUGGCAAGUUUGUCUUUCUUUAGGGACUUAUUUAGGGGGUAGGAGAGCAAAAACAAAAACACUUCAUUAUUAAAGUAUCUGGUGAACAAUUAGGCCUCUUUCAGAGGAUUUAAGGGGAAAGGGUCCUGUAACAUAAUGCAAUUUAUGGCUGUGUUCUUCAAUGUGGUGUUUUCCAAUACAAUUUUAUUACAGGCUCUAAAUUAUACUUUCACAGGAAAGGUCUGUCUUUAAACUUUUAGGUCACAAUUGUUCAGAUCUUUUCACACUGAAUCAAUCAGGUUUAAAGCUGGCAAAAUCCUUGGCAGCCUUGUAAAUCUUUCAAAAGAUGUUAUCCAAUUACCCUUCAUGGGCCACAGGAUUCUACAGCAUGACUAUUUCCUUCUCUAUGAGGAAUUAAGUGCUCAUGAGAGGUUAGAAACCAAUGGAGUUGAAAAGCAAGGUUCUGCAUUUUUCCUCCAGUUCACAUGGUAGAGAUAUAGGCAGCUACUGAGAUUUCCUGAGAUCUGCCACAGACAUUCUGGCCCUCCUGGCAUCAUUAAAAUUUUAAUUGCUUUAAAUCAGAAAAAAAAAAAAAAAAAAGAAGACAUUAACACCAGAAUGGUUCUUGUUACAAAACCUUAUUUUUGGAGCUGUAUUAAGGAUUUACCAGAAGAACAUGUUCCAAAUGGAAAGCAUAAGAGAUCACUAUUACUCUUAGUUACUUUUGCAAGAAAAACAUUUUUAGGUACAGUCAGUAAAUACACAAGGGAUUGAAAAAGAAAAUAACAAAGAGGAUAAAUGUACUUCUUUAGUCUGUGUUGAUCUAAAAAAUGUGCUUAUUUUCCAUUUAAAAAACACAUAUUAAUCUCUGUUAGUUCUUCCUCUUCUAGGUUUCCGAUAUAGAAUACUAAUAAAAGGCUAAGGAGACAUUCAAUUUAUAUAAAAGCCUAUUUCAUGCCACUUGGUUUCAAGGGAGAAAAUAAUCAUGGGCAGAAUCAUUUGAAAAUAAUUUUUCAAGGAAAAAUGUGAACAUGUAGCUAGAUUGCUUCACAGAAGUUAGGAAAGCACAGCUUUCCUUUGUCAUGUAAAAAGCAGAGUGGAGGUUAUGGGAUUCCAGCUGCACCUUUGACCUCAAGGCUUCUUGAGUCACUCACUUGUCAUGACCUUUGACCUUUGGCAAAUCAUGACCCUAUCUGUUUCGCUUGAUUUUUACUAUCUACAACAAAAGGCCUUUUCCCCUCUGGAACACAUAAGCAGAAGUCAUAUAAAUGUUUGCAAAUAGUUUGUCCGCCAACCAUCAGGCAAAGAGAGAAGAAGUAUAAAAAAAAAUUACAAAGCAUGGAGGAAAAUGCUCUAACAUAUAAAGUUUCCUCCAGUGGCGUAGAUUGAUUUCAAUGACUACAGUGUAAACACCUGGAUUCAUGUUCCCUCUUUUAAAAAUCUUUACUUUCUUUGAUUUAAAAUAUAAUGUAGUAAGAGGUGAAAAGAUUGGUGUUUUAAUAAAUUAUACUUCUUGUACUUUGCACUCUAGUCACUAAAAAUUGCAGACAUCAUCUCACAGCUGUGUGUUAUCAAUACCUCCUUUUACUCACUUUCUAGAUUGUUUCCAUUUCCAAAGAAAUGCAAUUCCUUUUUACAAGAUUGUGAGUGAAAGGUAAAUAUGUGCAAACUUUGGGAAUAAAAUGUAGUGUUGGAGCUAACUCAAGUACAGAAGAGGAAACCAGGCUUGCAAAAGCGUACAUAGAAGCUCUCCGGGUAGAAUAUUCAACCACUUAACACAUAUAAUUCUAAGUCCCAAACCUUAUUUAGUCUUUACGAUAAUAGCAAUUAUUCCGAAUCUAUUUAAUACACACUGCUGAUUGGUAACACAUGCUUCGAGUUUUCACAAGUUUUCCUUUCGAAUACUGAAGUUUGUUUGCUUGCUUGUUUUAAGCAAGUAAUAAGGAGAAAAAAGCUUGAAGAUAUACAUUAAUUAAAGUGUCUAGAAGGUUCGGCACAACAAAGAAUGAUGUAUACAUUUUCACCAAGAUGAGAAUGAAUGAAAUCUCUUGGAUCAUAAUACUUUAGGAUUUGUCUAUUUAUGGGAUGUUUUGUGGUUAUUUUUACUGCCCAGCCAGCAUGGAGAUUCUUAUUUUUUUCUUUUUGCACCAAGACAGAAGUAUUUUAAUAUUUGCUUUGGGAAUAGUUUUAUUUUUAGCUAUUUCCACCUACUUUUUGCAUUCAUUCACAAUCCACUGUU